AAAGGAAAAAAUAGCAUUUUAUUUCAUAUAACUGUCCAGAGUCCCUGCCUCACUGGGUGUGAGGGGGGAGAGGAAUAAAAACCCUGAAUUUGUGGAUUGAUGGCAUUGCAGCCUCUUCUGGUUUGACCAGAGUCUUUUGGGUGACUCUGGGUCUUGUAGAUAGACCCUUAGUCAUUGAGGCAUCUUCCUGGGCUGCUCCCUGUAAGAAGCACCCGCAGGCACCCCUGAGCAGAUAUCUGUAGCCUGGUGCAGGGGAGCUGGGCUCAGGCCACACGGCAUCUUCUGGGUUCUCACAGGUCUCUGCUGCAGAGGGGCUGGCCUGGGCUGCUUCCUGGACAGGUGAUCUGUCUGCCUCCUCGUCCUGUCUGCCAGAACUUCCCCUACAUCCCAACUUCCUCCUGCCCCAUGAAAUCCAUGGAACUAGACAGGGGCACGUGGUUUCCUG
Molecule: long non-coding RNA, 445 nt
Filed under: Homo sapiens (human)
Lineage: Eukaryota; Metazoa; Chordata; Mammalia; Primates; Hominidae
Description: HSALNT0214931
Source: RNAcentral